RNAcentral lists this ribosomal RNA (435 nucleotides) under uncultured soil bacterium. RNAcentral's name for it is "bacterial SSU rRNA". It matches the Rfam family "Bacterial small subunit ribosomal RNA", at positions 26 to 461 of the family's 1533-position model. The record is from RNAcentral.
AGAGUGAACGCUGGCGGCAGGCCUAACACAUGCAAGUCGAACGGCAGCACAGAGGAGCUUGCUCCUUGGGUGGCGAGUGGCGGACGGGUGAGGAAUACAUCGGAAUCUGCCUUAUCGUGGGGGAUAACGUAGGAAACUUACGCUAAUACCGCAUACGACCUACGGGUGAAAGCGGAGGACCUUCGGGCUUCGCGCGAUAAGAUGAGCCGAUGUCGGAUUAGCUAGUUGGCGGGUAAAGGCCCACCAAGGCGACGACCCGUAGCUGGUCUGAGAGGAUGAUCAGCCACACUGGAACUGAGACACGGUCCAGACUCCUACGGGAGGCGAGCGAGUGGGGAAUAUUGGACAAUGGGCGCAAGCCUGAUCCAGCCAUGCCGCGUGUGUGAAGAAGGCUUCGGUGUAAGCACGUUUGUGGGUAAGAAAGCACUGGAUUAA